AUUGCUUUCUACGAUGACAAUCACAUUUCCAUUGAUGGUGACACAGAAAUUGCCUUCACUGAGAACGUGGACAAGCGUUUCGAAGCCCUUGGAUGGCAUGUUAUUUGGGUGAAGAAUGGAAACACCGGGUAUGACGAGAUCCGUGCUGCCAUUAAGGAAGCUAAAGCUGUUACAGACAAGCCUACAUUGAUCAAGGUAACUACAAAUUCUGAACCAUCAAACAUCAGUUGGUCUAAAGACCUUUGACAUUGUGUUUACCAUAUUGCUUGUAUCCGGAUAAAUUCAGGUCACUACUACCAUUGGUUAUGGGUCUCCCAACAAGGCGAACUCAUACAGUGUCCAUGGAGCUGCACUUGGCGAGAAGGAAGUUGAGGCUACCAGAAAUAACCUUGGAUGGCCGUAUGAGCCGUUCCAGGUACCUGACGAUGUUAAAAGGUGAGUAAAUCCAAAGCAGGCUUCUGUUAGGUUUUAUUUCUUUGAAGUUGCUUUGAUGACUUACCGUUUGAGUCACACUUUUCUAGCCACUGGAGCCGUCAUACACCUGAAGGAGCUGCUCUUGAAUCUGACUGGAGUGCAAAGUUUGCAGCAUAUGAAAAGAAGUACCCAGAGGAAGCUGCAGAGUUGAAAUCUAUUAUCUCUGGUGAAUUACCUACUGGCUGGGAAAAGGCUCUACCUGUAAGUAGAACUCUCUUUGUAGUCGGUACAAUUCAAUUGGUAUUCUAGAUAUGGGUUUGAGAACAUCUUUCGUUUUCCCUUUUUAGACAUACACACCAGAGUCUCCGGGUGAUGCCACCAGGAACUUGUCACAACAAUGUCUUAACGCUAUUGCUAAAGUUGUUCCCGGAUUCCUUGGUGGAAGUGCUGACCUUGCAUCAUCCAACAUGACAUUGCUGAAAGCCUCCGGUGACUUCCAAAAGGCCACACCUGAAGAAAGAAAUCUUAGGUUUGGUGUUAGGGAGCACGGAAUGGGAGCCAUAUGCAACGGAAUUGCCCUUCACAGCCCUGGUCUUAUUCCGUACUGUGCAACUUUCUUUGUGUUCACUGACUACAUGAGAGGUGCCAUGAGAAUCUCGGCUCUGUCUGAAGCUGGUGUUAUCUAUGUUAUGACCCAUGAUUCUAUUGGUCUUGGAGAGGAUGGACCAACCCAUCAGCCCAUUGAGCACAUUGCAAGUUUCCGUGCAAUGCCCAACACUCUUAUGUUCCGUCCUGCUGAUGGCAACGAAACAGCUGGUGCAUACAAGAUCGCUGUCACCAAGCGUAAGACACCAUCUAUCCUAGCUCUGUCUAGGCAAAAGCUGCCUCAUCUUCCAGGUACAUCCAUUGAAGGAGUUGAAAAGGGAGGAUAUACAAUUUCGGACGACUCUGCAGGCAACAAACCCGAUGUGAUUUUGAUUGGAACUGGAUCUGAGCUAGAGAUUGCUGCACAGGCUGCGGAGGUGCUUAGGAAAGAAGGCAAAACCGUUAGAGUUGUAUCUUUCGUGUGCUGGGAGCUAUUUGACGAGCAAUCAGAUGAAUACAAGGAGAGUGUGUUGC
RNAcentral lists this long non-coding RNA (1533 nucleotides) under Capsella grandiflora. RNAcentral's name for it is "long non-coding RNA (CGRA_LNC001432)". The record is from RNAcentral. Lineage: Eukaryota; Viridiplantae; Streptophyta; Magnoliopsida; Brassicales; Brassicaceae.